AGAACGAACGCUGGCGGCAGGCCUAAUACAUGCAAGUCGAACGCCGUAGCAAUACGGAGUGGCAGACGGGUGAGUAACACGUGGGAACCUUCCCAAUGGUACGGAAUAGCCCGGGGAAACCCGGAGUAAUACCGUAUACGCCCGAAAGGGGAAAGAUUUAUCGCCAUUGGAUGGGCCCGCGUCGGAUUAGCUAGUUGGUGAGGUAACGGCUCACCAAGGCGACGAUCCGUAGCUGGUCUGAGAGGAUGAUCAGCCACACUGGGACUGAGACACGGCCCAGACUCCUACGGGAGCAGCAGUAGGGAAUAUUGGACAAUGGGCGAAAGCCUGAUCCAGCCAUGCCGCGUGAGUGACGAAGGCCUUCGGGUUGUAAGCUCUUUGGCGGGACGAUAAUGACGGUACCCGCAGAAUAACGCCCCGCUAACUUCGUGCCAGCAGCCGC
Molecule: ribosomal RNA, 442 nt
Filed under: uncultured soil bacterium
Lineage: Bacteria
Description: bacterial SSU rRNA
Rfam family: Bacterial small subunit ribosomal RNA
Source: RNAcentral